Molecule: long non-coding RNA, 1931 nt
Organism: Alligator mississippiensis (American alligator)
Lineage: Eukaryota; Metazoa; Chordata; Crocodylia; Alligatoridae
Exons: 3
Source: RefSeq, a predicted model, not a curated record
UUGAACUUAAAUAAAGGGCCGAAUCUGCAAGGCCUAUCUGCUGUUGGAAGGCUCCCAGUUUCCGUGCUGGGUAGGGGAACGAUAACAAGAACGUUGACAUAGGGUAUUAAAGGUGGAAGUACGUUCUGAGGGUGAAAGCAUGAGAUGGCUUGUGAGCAAUUGUAGCCCCCAUGGAAGCAACAUGAAAGGCUCCAGAUGUUUGAUUGGAGCUUGCACUCAAGCACUCAAUGCCAGAGGUGAAGUUCAGAUUAGUAUUUAGGAGUUUCUCUUAAAUGUACCAACACAUUUCCCCACUUCCCGUUCUGGGUACACAACAAUACUUGGUGCUCUGAAAAUCACUCUGCACUCUCAGGCAGGCCAGCAUCAUCAAAGCCAUACCAUAGAUGGGAACUGUGGCGUUGAUGAUGUCUGAGGCUAUUGGAAGAGUUAUUAGCAGAGGAGGGUGAUGGGAAGGACUGAAUGCCUAGUCUGUGCCCCAGGAUCCUUUUGCCAGGCUUUCUACUGAGUCAAGCAAUACUGCUGCUUUCGAUGAAGCUUAGAGACAGUGGACGGUGGAGGUAGUGCUGUGACCUUGCUAGAGAAGAAGGACUUGAGGAAGCGUGGGUUGCAGUCCUAGCUCUGCCUCGGACUGGCGGUGAGAUCACAAGCAGGCUGACUCGCCUCGCUCACAAAAGCCUUUUCAUUCUGGAAAGGAAGGCAUUGGUUCUACCAGCCCGCACAAGCAGGGCAAGUAACUCACUCCAGUACAGGUCAGGGGAAAGAGAAAUCAAAAGAGAAAAGACCGUUCUGGCAAGAACCAGUAGAGGCCACCAUUGCACUCCUUAAAGGAUUCUGGCAUUUCCAUCGUGGGAUGGAUUUUUAAUUCCCAGAACAGCUCCUCUGAGAUUUCCCUAGGACACUCACUGCAAUAAUCAGUUCAGCAGGCAGUUCCUGAUGAAACAGAAGUCAUCUCCAAUCUCAUCCUUUCAUUCUUGUGGAGCUCUCAGUUCUUCCCUCUAUAGACAAGACCCUGUUGUAGGAGGCAGCAGGUCAGUACUUGAACUCCAAUGGAACAGGUGCAUUGCUGGACCUCUAUUUAACAUCCUCAGACUUGAAGUAUUACUAUGUAAGGUCCUUGCUUUGCUCCAAGCAGCCUGAGAGAUACUCAACAGUCAACCACUUUGAGUUGGCAUUACAGUGGCAUAUAUUAAAAUCAUGGUCUCCUCGUGAAUGCUCCUCUAGUCACCUAGAUGGAUGUUGACAGGGCAACUUUUAGCUUGUCAGAGCAGGGGCCAGCUAUAUACUAGCAGCCUGCUAGGAAAAUAAAGGAUUAAAGACAAAGCACAGUGAUGUUAAGUGCCAUACAGUUUCUGGUGAGAAGAAGGUAAGUAGGAAGAAUGCAGAAGAGCCAGAGGAUGCUGGUCCAUGGGAUUGUGGGAAUGCCAGUAGAGAACAGCCUGGACACGAGCAUGUUGCUUGCUAUCAUACUACAUCCCUGCUGCAAAGCAUACAGGUAAAGGGAUGGGUAUAGGCUUAAUGCAGCAUUUACUGGAAACAGAGAAGUGCUUAAAGCUCUGUACAUUCUUACCUCUGGGAAAGGGUAUAAGGGCUUUAAGUGUGAAUGCAAGAGGAGUAUGGGUAAAGUAUGCAUGCAAAUCUGAACCUAUAGGUAGCUUGCAGGUUAGGCACACCCCCAGUCUGCCCUUACUUAGAUGUACUCCCAUGCUUAAGUAAGGAUCUCCUGAUUCUGGUUGACUGUCAGUAUAGUUCUUUGCUGUGUAUGCUGUGAUGCACUUUCCACUGGCCACAGAUGUAACAGGAGCAAUUGCUUGUUUUAGGAAGAAAGGCAUUAACUUGAUCAGAUUGAGCAGAAAAUCCCUCUUUGGUGAGUUCCUCCUAUUGUAUAGCUUUCUGCUUACAACUUAAAACACUGUUUGUCUGUUCUCCAUUCA